RNAcentral lists this ribosomal RNA (422 nucleotides) under uncultured bacterium. RNAcentral's name for it is "bacterial SSU rRNA". It matches the Rfam family "Bacterial small subunit ribosomal RNA", at positions 356 to 775 of the family's 1533-position model. The record is from RNAcentral.
GAGGAAUAUUGGUCAAUGGAGGCAACUCUGAACCAGCCAAGUCGCGUGAAGGAUGAAGGUCUUAUGGAUUGUAAACUUCUUUUUCAAGGGAAUAAAGUGGGGGACGUGUCCUCCUUUGCAUGUACCUUGCGAAUAAGGAUCGGCUAACUCCGUGCCAGCAGCCGCGGUAAUACGGAGGAUCCGAGCGUUAUCCGGAUUUAUUGGGUUUAAAGGGUGCGCAGGCGGGAUGUUAAGUCGGCGGUGAAAUUUUGCAGCUCAACUGUAAAAGUGCCUUCGAUACUGGCUUUCUUGAGUGUGGAUGAAGUAGGCGGAAUUUGUGGUGUAGCGGUGAAAUGCUUAGAUAUCACGAGGAACUCCGAUUGCGCAGGCAGCUUACUAAACCACUACUGACGCUCAUGCACGAAGGCGUGGGGAUCAAACAG